RNAcentral lists this ribosomal RNA (319 nucleotides) under uncultured bacterium. RNAcentral describes it as "bacterial SSU rRNA". It matches the Rfam family "Bacterial small subunit ribosomal RNA", at positions 470 to 789 of the family's 1533-position model. The record is from RNAcentral.
UGUAUGUACCGUUCGAAUAAGCAUCGGCUAAUUCCGUGCCAGCAGCCGCGGUAAUACGGAAGAUGCGAGCGUUAUCCGGAUUUAUUGGGUUUAAAGGGAGCGUAGGCGGUAUGUUAAGUCAGCGGUCAAAUGUCAGUGCCCAACAUUGGCCUGCCGUUGAUACUGGCGUACUUGAAUACACACAAGGAAGGUGGAAUUCGUCGUGUAGCGGUGAAAUGCUUAGAUAUGACGAAGAACUCCGAUUGCGAAGGCAGCCUUCUGGAGUGCGAUUGACGCUGAGGCUCGAAAGCGCGGGUAUCAAACAGGAUUAGAUACCCUG